This 440-nucleotide ribosomal RNA is filed under the name uncultured bacterium. RNAcentral's name for it is "bacterial SSU rRNA". It matches the Rfam family "Bacterial small subunit ribosomal RNA", at positions 338 to 794 of the family's 1533-position model. The record is from RNAcentral.
CCUACGGGUGGCUGCAGUAACGAAUAUUCCGCAAUGCGCGAAAGCGUGACGGAGCAAUGCCGCGUGCAGGAUGAAGCGGUUCUGCCGUGUAAACUGCUGUCAGGGUCUAGGAAGAACUGACCAGACCCAGAGGAAGGGCCGGCUAAUCUCGUGCCAGCAGCCGCGGUAAGACGAGAGGCCCAAGCGUUAUUCGGAAUCACUGGGCUUAAAGGGUGCGUAGGCUGAUGUGUAGGUGUGUCGUGAAAUCCCUCGGCUCAACCGGGGAACUGCUAUGCAAACCACACAUCUUGAGUCAGGUAGAGGUUGUCGGAACGUUCGGUGGAGCGGUGAAAUGCGUAGAUAUCGAACGGAACGCCCAUGGGGAAGCCAGGCAACUGGACCUGUACUGACGCUGAGGCACGAAAGCGUGGGGAGCAAACAGGAUUAGAUACCCUAGUAGU